Zalophus californianus (California sea lion) is the source of this 545-nucleotide long non-coding RNA. RefSeq lists it as uncharacterized. The transcript has 4 exons. The record is from RefSeq and is a predicted model, not a curated record. Lineage: Eukaryota; Metazoa; Chordata; Mammalia; Carnivora; Otariidae.
ACUCUCUUGGAUGUGGUGGACCGCCCAACCUGUGACCCGCGCUCUCUAAGGUCGUGACCUCUGUCUGCCAAAAAGCCUAAAAUGAGCCUGGUUUAAAGAUGAGCCUGGUUUAAAGAGCUACCGCAGGUUGAAAUAUACUAAUAAAUAUACUAUUACUGCUCUAACAAACCACUUCCUUGUGUUGACAUCUUCAACCAAAAUGUAGAUUGUUAUAGCAAUGGGGGAUGACGAUCUAGCACCACACACUGUGUUUUGUCUUCCCAUUCUGCUUUCGAUAUCUGCCAGAGACCAUUAGGAUCACACCUGAAAUCAAGUUAAGUUUACUAUUUGCUGCAACAAAGGAGACCCUACGUGAUGCAAAACAAAGGUCGCACCUGAGCUGAAUCUUGCAGUGUCCUAGAGUUGCCUGGGUGAAAACAAGUGGAAAGAACAGAAGGAAUGCUCGGCAGAAGCAAGAGAGAACACAGCAUAUUUCCUCUCUAAUAACUUGUCCUGAUUCUGGCAUCUACAAAUGCUAACAUCUCUGAAUUUAGCUGGGCUAUUUU